AAUCAACGCUGGCGGCGUGCCUCAGACAUGCAAGUCGAACGCGAAAGUCCCCUUCGGGGGAUGAUUAGAGUGGCGCACGGGUGAGUAACACGUAGGUAAUCUACCUUCGAGUGGGGAAUAACUCAGGGAAACUUGAGCUAAUACCGCAUAAUGCAGCGGCACCACAUGGUGACAGUUGUUAAAGCAUUUAUGCGCUUGAAGAGGAGCCUGCGGCGGAUUAGCUAGUUGGUAAGGUAAUGGCUUACCAAGGCUACGAUCUGUAACCGGCCUGAGAGGGCGGACGGUCACACUGACACUGAAUAACGGGUCAGACUCCUACGGGAGGCAGCAGUCGGGAAUUUUGGGCAAUGGGCGAAAGCCUGACCCAGCAACGCCG
This 376-nucleotide ribosomal RNA is filed under the name uncultured bacterium. RNAcentral's name for it is "bacterial SSU rRNA". It matches the Rfam family "Bacterial small subunit ribosomal RNA", at positions 32 to 399 of the family's 1533-position model. The record is from RNAcentral.